GGGAGGCUAGCUCAGUGGCAGAGCGCCUGCUUUACACGCAGGUGGUCGGGGGUUCGAUCCCCUCGCCUCCCACCA
RNAcentral lists this transfer RNA (75 nucleotides) under Holophagales bacterium. RNAcentral describes it as "tRNA-Val". It matches the Rfam family "tRNA". From Rfam's summary of the family: Transfer RNA (tRNA) molecules are approximately 80 nucleotides in length. RNAcentral also lists the same sequence under 1 other name. Lineage: Bacteria; Pseudomonadati; Acidobacteriota; Holophagae; Holophagales. The record is from RNAcentral.